GAGUACAUCCUGCCCACGAGAGGGUAAAUGAGAGUGACAGAGUAAUAAAAAAUAGAGAAAGAGAGAGAGUGAGAACAUAGAGAGAGGGAGACAGGCACAGAAUCUGCACAUCCUCACAACCAGCACACCUUUACCAUUCACAGCCGAACUCAAGACUGAGCUGAGAAACCAAAAAAGCCACUGCUCAUCUGUAUCACAUUAUCACAGAAUGCUGCUCUAUCUUCUGUUCUGGAUGAGUCUAUUUCUGUUGAUUACAAACUGUGAAAGAGGAUUUUAUGGGAAUCAUUACGGCGAGUGGAAUGAUUCGAAACUGCAGCCCACCAUACAGAGGCUGAUGAAAGGCUACAAUCGAUACCUAAGGCCAAACUUUAACCGUGAGGCUAAUUAAAUAAUUAAUGGAGAAUUAAAACACAUACAGUUAUUUAAA
Molecule: long non-coding RNA, 427 nt
Filed under: Sinocyclocheilus grahami
Lineage: Eukaryota; Metazoa; Chordata; Actinopteri; Cypriniformes; Cyprinidae
Description: lncRNA (ENSSGRG00000021267.1)
Source: RNAcentral